CUACUUUGGCCGAUCGUAACCAAAGAAACCCAGUAAAUAAUGACCACGAGAUGUAAACAAUAACUAGAUAUUGAAGUACGACAUUCAUGUAGUUUGGUGAGCCACCGCCAGGGUGGCAAAUACCCGGGAACUGUGUAAGUUGACCAAGUGCUGAGAGUGGCCUGCGAAUUUUUCCGUUCAUUAUCUUCACAGUGCAAUAGUAUGCAGCUUUCAAUUGCAGAAAUGGGCACAUGAAUUCUUCAAGGGAAAAUGGAAUAACAUUUCACAGCCCUGUUCAGAAUCAAGUAAAGAAAGAGACCUCGACCUCAAAGAACUUUUCUUACGACAACUUACUCUUAUAUUCUCUUUUUUAUCAGCUGAAAAAAGAGAAAAUGAGAAAAAGGACAUCUCAUUAGUAGAGACUUUACGAGGAGCUUUUCUCGUUACUAAUGAAGAUGUGGUGGUGCUUCAUAAAUAUGAGAGAUGUGGUCUUGGCAGAUUUAGUUUGGGUUUCACUACUAAUCUACUCGUGCAUAUGUAAAUCAAUAUAAUUAACGCAACUCCAGCACACAAGACAUCAAGAACUGAGCAAAAUAUUGAAAGAGUAAUUAUCCUAGACUAACAAGAGAAACAAAUAGAAUAACCUAAUGCACCCAAAAUUGGUCCCUGUCUCACCUGUCUAACAGCUUUAUCAAACAACUGUGCAGGAUUCUCCAUGAUUGGCCAAGCUUCUGGGAGCAAGAGCACUAAUUAAAGUCAAGUGCGAUGAAAGUAGUUCAUCAUAUAACUCAUAAGGAGACUAACUACUGCAGAAGCACCAACCCCACAAAAAGAGAUGCCAAAUCUACAAAAUUGAACCUAAAACUGUUACUAAAAAUUACUUAAUUAGCAAUGAAGCACCAUGAGGGAAAUGAUGAUUAGGCCUGUAAUUACCAUUUAGUAGUUCACCAACCACUUGAGGAACAUGUAAACCAGUGACAUCUAAAACAAAGUAUGAAAAUAAAUUAAGUGAAUUUAUUCAGAAGAUAUACCACAUAAUUAAUUUGAUAAAAUGGUUCAAAUUAAUACCCCACAAUGGCUUGCUGAAUAUGUAUCUACAGUAUUAUACAGUACUAUAACAAUUUUUCAUAUGGCUAGAAAUUUAUUCCGAUAUUUUCAAAAUGUUAGGAGGGUUUCUAACUUGCCUAAUGUUAUUCCUUAUAAAGUAGUCAAACUGGCCUACAUUAAUCCUUCAACAAAUUGAAAGUUCUGUUAUUUUCUGUUAAUUCUACAAUAUUCUGACCUAAGUUUCACUCACACCUUCAAUUCCCAUGUAAGUAAAAUAUAGUAUAUGUAUUAUAUUAAGAAACUUUUAUGUUAAAAUGAAUGUUUGUACUGUAAUUAUCUAAUCAAGUAAAUGUCAAAUAUGCAUGGGUAUUCUGCACUGUGAUGCUGGAAUUUUAGUCUUGUAUCUUGUGAAAAUCUACAUAAACAUCAGAAAACCUAAAAGGAAUGUACAAAAUGUUACAACAACAGUACAGCACAUAUCCGUAAAUAAAGAUAUAAACAUGAGGUAAGGCUAUUGCUAUUAAAUUAUUACUAAACAAACUUGUAGCAGCCAAUGGCUCACAAUUGUGCAUAUUUUUAUGAACAGAUCUAUGUGGCACCAGACAAAAUUCUGAAAGAGAAUUCAAGUAUGGCUCCACUACGUAAAGGCAACUGAAAAUGGAGGAUAGAAUCCAUAAUCUUUAUGAAAUUCAUAAUUCAGCAGAAACUUGAAAUUCUACAUUUUGCAUGAUUUAAAAAGACUUGACUGCAAAUAAAAUGGUUACAUCUCCAAAAAAUCUGGAAAGCAAGAGCUGACUAACACUGAAAGUUGCCACAAGAAUGCAAUUUUUAUAAAAAGAAACCUCUGAAACCAUGAAUAUGUUCCAACAUUCAUCUUUUAUUAAAAUGUCUUACAACAAUGAUUGACUUUAUCAAGUGAAAUAGCCAGACAUAGUUCUUGUAAGCUCUGUGUGCCCUGAAUGUGUUAAAUAUUCAGGAUUUACACAUGACUUGAACCUUCCAAACAUUAAAAA
Long non-coding RNA from Macrobrachium nipponense, 2039 nucleotides. RefSeq lists it as uncharacterized. Lineage: Eukaryota; Metazoa; Arthropoda; Malacostraca; Decapoda; Palaemonidae. The record is from RefSeq and is a predicted model, not a curated record. The transcript has 3 exons.